UACGUAGGCAGCGAGCGUUGUUCGGAGUUACUGGGCGUAAAGCGUGCGCAGGCGGUUUUUUAAGCUUGAUGUGAAAUCCCCGGGCUCAACCUGGGAACUGCAUUGAGGACUGGAAGGCUAGAGUACGGCAGAGGGGGGUGGAAUUCCACGUGUAGCAGUGAAAUGCGUAGAGAUGUGGAGGAACACCGAUGGCGAAGGCAGCCCCCUGGGCCUGUACUGACGCUCAUGCACGAAAGCGUGGGGAGCAAACAGG
This 253-nucleotide ribosomal RNA is filed under the name uncultured bacterium. Its description in RNAcentral is "partial 16S ribosomal RNA". It matches the Rfam family "Bacterial small subunit ribosomal RNA", at positions 524 to 776 of the family's 1533-position model. The record is from RNAcentral.